This is a long non-coding RNA of Oncorhynchus gorbuscha (pink salmon), 872 nucleotides long. RefSeq lists it as uncharacterized. The record is from RefSeq and is a predicted model, not a curated record. The transcript has 2 exons. Lineage: Eukaryota; Metazoa; Chordata; Actinopteri; Salmoniformes; Salmonidae.
AAUUACACAGAACAACGUCAUGUGUAAUCGGGGGCUGUUCUUUUGAAAUAUGUCGUUUUUGAUAAUUUCCUUUAUUGUGAGGUUCAGUCCGCCCACACUAGUCACCGCUCAACUCCAUCUUAAAUAGAGGAGUUGGAGUUUGAUUGGCUACAUCUAAAUAAAUAGAUUCUCAAUUGCUGAAAAAUUCUGUAAAGAUAGCUAAAGCGCUCUACAUGUAUAUCACCUCUAAAUAAUUUCACAAAUGCAAAAUGUACGCUAUUUUAACCGUUUUUUACACACUUGGAUGCGACUGUAUUUUUCAGUGACAACACGUUCUAACGUUACCUACAUUUAGGACACACAGAGGUCCUCGUGUUGGAGGAGAAGGCCAACUUCUCAGGAGACUGUAUUCUGGGGAGGGAACUGCCAUGUUUGAAGAUCUCUAUGACAAUGUGAAAUCUCUGCAAAUCCUGUUGGACUCACAGGCUGACCUAAUAUACCCAACUCUGAAACACUGAAUGGUAUUAUUGAAUGAAAAGUGUUCAAAAAAAGCAUGGAUAUCAUCCAUUAGAAAAGACACAUUACAUUACAUACAUUCUACUGUCAGUCACACCUUCAAAUGGCAAGUUCACAUUAGCUACAGUGCCUUCAGAAAGUAUUCACACCCCUUGACUUUUUCUACAUUUUGUUGUGUUACAUCCUGAAUGUAAAAUGCAUUACAUUGAGAUGUGUCACUGGCCUAUACACAAUACCCCAUAAUGUCAAGGUGGAAUUAUGUUUGUAGACAUUUUUACAAAUGUAUUCCAGAUGAAUGCUGAAGUGUCUUGAGUCAAUAAGUAUUCAACCCCUUUGUUAUGGCAAGAAGUAAAGAUGUGCUUUAACACGCCACAUAA